This 492-nucleotide ribosomal RNA is filed under the name uncultured bacterium. RNAcentral's name for it is "bacterial SSU rRNA". It matches the Rfam family "Bacterial small subunit ribosomal RNA", at positions 28 to 507 of the family's 1533-position model. The record is from RNAcentral.
GAUGAACGCUAGCUACAGGCUUAACACAUGCAAGUCGCGGGGCAGCAUUUUCUUAGCUUGCUAAGGAAGAUGGCGACCGGCGCACGGGUGAGUAACGCGUAUCCAACCUUCCCAUGUCCACGGGAUAGCCCGUCGAAAGGCGGAUUAAUACCGUAUGAGGUCACAUGCGGGCAUCUAAUUGUGACGAAAGGUUUAGCGGACAUGGAUGGGGAUGCGUCCGAUUAGCUAGUUGGCGGGGUAACGGCCCACCAAGGCAACGAUCAGUAGGGGUUCUGAGAGGAAGGUCCCCCCACAUUGGAACUGAGACACGGUCCAAAACUCCUACGGGAGGCAGCAGUGAGGAAUAUUGGUCAAUGGGCGAGAGCCUGAACCAGCCAAGUAGCGUGCAGGACGACGGCCCUAUGGGUUGUAAACUGCUUUUAUAAGGGAAUAAAGUGGGUCUCGUGAGACUUUUUGCAUGUACCUUAUGAAUAAGGACCGGCUAAUUCCGUG